Molecule: long non-coding RNA, 1819 nt
Filed under: Sus scrofa (pig)
Lineage: Eukaryota; Metazoa; Chordata; Mammalia; Artiodactyla; Suidae
Description: lncRNA (ENSSSCG00030027512.1)
Source: RNAcentral
AUGCUCUCGGUGUGUUCCAGGAGCCGAUUUGACUCUGUGGUCCUGCUCUUCUUCCCCCAGACACCAAGGCCAUCUUGUCGCCGCCUUCAGCUGCCUGUCCCUCCUUCUCCUCUUCUUUGCCAUCUUUUUCAUCUACAGAUGCUCUCAGGAUGGUUCAGCACCAGAAGAAUCCCCCCAGAGGUAAGUAUAGCCAAUAGAUCUCCUGCCCUGUGUAACUCCCACUCCAUCCUUCAGAGCCUGGUCUCAAAACGGUACCUCCCCCGCCCAACCCCACCUCUCUCAGCCCUGUGCUUACCCCAAAGUCUUCAGAUCCCACACGUGAACGUUUCUCUCUCUCAGAACCAUCCAUCCCAAGCAGGAGGCUGCAGGUUUAUGCAAGCUGGAAAGGAUAUCAGAAUCGAAUGAAGACCCCCUGGGAGUGACCUAUGCCCAGCUAAACACCAAUGCACUGUCGGAGGCAGCUUCGGUGCCCGCUGAGGACCCCCCGGAAGCUCAUGACUAUGCAACACUGAAGGUGUAGAACUGGAACCCUGGGAAGGAGAAUGUGGAUUAAGAUGACUGGGGUGGCCGGACAUAUGAAAAUCCGGGUGACUCUGUGUCCUCAGCUCAUAAUCCAGUCUCAGGAAAUCGAGGUUUUUCCCUUCUCGCUUCCCUUCCUCUCGAAAGUUCCUGGGUGGAUUUCCAUGACUUUUGGAGUGUGAUCUUAGCAUGGCUUGUCUCAACACAUAGACUAAGAACACAUCCUGUGUAUGUGGGCUGGCGGGAUGCAUCAUAUCCGCUUAGGGAGUUCAGCACGGCGCCAUGUAAACAGAAACUGGUUCCUCUGAGAAGCCUGUGUGAUCGCUGUCUGGUGAGUCACCCCAUAGACACAGGGAUUUCAGAAAGGAACAGAAAAUACAAGCCAUGAAGAGAGAGACUCAAUGUGAAUUAACAAAAAGCAUCCCUAAGUGGCAUGCACCAAGGCAAGCAGCUCAAAGUAUUGGGUUCAUGGAGUUCUCCUGUGGCGAAGCGGGUUAAGGAUGCCACAUUGUCAUUGCAAUGGAUUGGGUAGCUGCUGGGGAGGUGGGUUCGAUGCCUGGCCCAGGAACUUCCACACCCUGCAAGUGCAGCCAAAAUUCGGUUCAGGACUCCUUCAAGCUGCGCUUUCGAGCAUACCAUGGAAUAUUAUUCAGCCACACGCACAAAAAAACCCCACUGUUACAUGCCAACAACCUGGAUGAACCUAGGAAACGUCAUACUAUGGGAAAGGAGCCGGACACAAAAACCUGCAUAUUGUAGGAUUCCAUUUAUAUGAAAUAUCUAGAAUGGACAAAGGCUUAGAGACAGAAAGCAGAGUUGCUGGGGGGAGUAGGGAGGGAGGGGUGAGGAAUGACUGCUAAUAUGUAUUGGGUUUCGGGUUUUUUUUUUUUUUUUGAUCUUUUGUCUUUUUAGGGUGGCACCUGCAGCAUAUGGAGGUUCCCAGGUUCGUGGUCGAAUCAGAACCGCGGCUGCCGGCCUACACUGCAGCCACAGCCACAGAGGAUCUGAGCUGUGUCUUCCACCUACACCACAGCUCACAGUAACAGCGGAUCCUUAACCCACUGAGGGACACCAGGGAUCGAACCUGCGUCUUCAUGGAUACUGGUUGGGGUCGUUAACCACUGAGCCACGAAGGGAACUCCAGGGUUGGGUUUCUUUUGGGGGUGAUGACCAUGUGGUGGAAGCAGGUGGUGGUGAGGUUUGCAGUCUUGUGAACAGACUAAAGGCCACUGAAUUGUACACUUUAAAAGCGUGUUUACGGUGUGUGAAUUUUAGUUCAAUAAAAAACAAAGCAAAACAA